UUACUCCUCUGAAAUCGACGAUAACUCUCGCACUCACUCUCACGCUCACUCUCAAUGCUCUCAAUUUUUCAAUCUCGCUCUGCCCCCUCAAUCUCUCAGUUCUCUGAAUCUAUCGAUCUUGUUCUGCCUCCUAUAUUUUUGGUUUUGCCUCCUCUCGAUCUCUCGCUCUGCUUCGUCGAUCUCAUGCAUGAUUCAAUCGCAGACUAAAUCUCAUUCCAGUAAGCAAGUCAAAUCAAAGGAGAUGUUUAAUUUGAGGAGGUAGGAACCCUAAAAUUGAUUGCGAUGGGGCGAGGAAAGAUUUCGAUUCGAAGGAUCGACAAUUCAACGAGCCGACAGAGCGUUGGCGCUUCCAUGUCUCAAAACAUCUAAAUGCCGCCGCACCGCCAUGCUUCGCGUUAGGGCCUCUGUAGCCAUUGACCAACACACUCACCAGACCACCUCCAACCUCGCACUCCUCAGAAUUGGAACCAGAGGAAGGAGAGGUUCCUUACAGAGAAGGACAAUCAAUUGGGGUGAUUCCAGAUGGCAUUGACAAGAAUGGAAAGCCUCACAAGCUCGGAUUGUAUUCUAUUGCUAGCAGUGCUCUUGUUGAUCUUGGAGACUCAUAAAAAAUUGUGAGUCUUAUUUUGGAGACCUAUACAUGAGACAAGAAUGGAAAGCCUCACAAGCUCGGAUUGUAUUCUAUUGCUAGCAGUGCUCUUGGUGAUCUUGGAGACUCAUAAAAAAUUGUGAGUCCUAUUUUAGAGACCUAUACAUGAUUUGGGUUAUACCUUUUCGUUCCGUUCAUACUUUAAUUACUCUGCAAUCUGAUAUAUUUGAUAUGAUGCUCUCAUUCACUCACCCAGGUUUCUCUAUGUGUGAAACGUCUUGUGUAUACAAAUGAAAAUGGAGAACUUGUCAAGGGAGUCUACUCAAAUUUCCUGUGCAAUGAUCAAUAGUUUGAGUUUUCAAUAUUUCUAUAUAAUGUGUUCUUAAACAAAUUUAGGUCUAAAUUUAAGCCUUUCUUUUUGGAACUUAUGUUGUUGUUUAUUCAGGUGACUUGAAAUCAGGAGCUCAAGUAAAGAUUAAUACUUCCCAUAAUAAUCAUUUUUUGCUUAGCUUUCUCUUUUUCUAUCAAAUUUAAACCUAAUACUUCUUUUUGCUCUUAAAUGUCAAACCCUUUGUGUUUUUUUUUAAAUUACUAUUUUGCUUCUACCAAACUUAGACGGUUAGACCUACUACCUUUCCUGAACUGUUGGGUUUAUUGAACGAUAUAUCACAAUCUAUUAUUAUUAGUUUUUUUUUUUUUUGAGCUUGAGGUUUAUCCGGUGAUGGGGAUUUUGAUAUUUGUUAAGGUGGGAGUGAAUAAUGAAUCUAAUCUAAUUUAAUUUUGUACAAUGAUUGAGGGUUCUAAUUAUAUGAUGGUGCCUUCUCCAAUUCCUAGACCUUUGAUAAUGCUGCAGACUUUAUGACUUUAAUUUAUAUGGAAUCUUUUCUGUUAAAUGUUGACAUGUUGGUCUUUUUCCAUGGUUUACUUUUUCCAUGUUGGUCUUUAAUAUAUAAAGGCCAAAAGUUCAAAAAUCAUGAAGUAGUUGUUGCUGAGAAAGAGGUACUUAUAUCAUUCUUUGCAUUUUUUUUCUAAGUUAAAGUUUGUCUAAAUUGAUUAAUUAAAAUUGUUGAUUUUAGCUAGCUAGGUGGCUACUAAUAUUAUUUUCUUGUCUUUAGUUAGUUUGGAGAAUUUCAUUAAUUUGUAAGAGCAAGUAGUGUUUGACAAUUUGGAUUAUCCUGCAUUGAGCAAGUAGUGUUUGGCAAUUUCUAAUAUAUGCUAAAAUUAUGAUAUAAAAUACAUGCAUGCACACAGAGCAUCUGUACUUUGCAGCUGUAUACAUAUGUAUCAUGUAUGUACAGAUGUAUAUUAAUCGCUCCAUCAAUAGUUAUAGUAAAUCAAAGUCCUCUAUAUUUAGAAUUAAAACCGAAGAAGUUAAAAUAGCAUUUAUGGUUCAUGCUUUGUAAUAAUCAUAUUAAGAUUAGUUGAAGUAAUAUGUUUUACUUUUAAAUAAAGCUGAUAUUACUUUUUCUUUCUUGUUAAGUGAAAAUAUUAGUAUUGGUACCUUAAAAUAGUUGUUAUUUUUUUUGUAGGUUUUUUAUUCUUCUCUUACUCAAGAGGCAACUAACAGAAACUCAUGAUGUACAAACCAGCCACAUAGAGAAAUAAAUUAUAUUGGUAACCUGUGUUCUGAAUUUUCAUCUAUUGGACUAAUUUUAGUAUUUAAAUAUCUUGGGUUUAAUUUGUAAAGUGGGUAUAGAAUAUGUAGUUGAAAAAAAAUUUGUGCAUUUAAAUGUUAUUAAAGAUUUAUUGCAAUAUUAUUUUAGUGUUAGUAAAGAAGAUCUUUU
Arachis ipaensis is the source of this 2373-nucleotide non-coding RNA. NCBI's taxonomy places the organism in Eukaryota, Viridiplantae, Streptophyta, Magnoliopsida, Fabales, Fabaceae. The record is from RefSeq and is a predicted model, not a curated record.